UUGAUCCUGGCUCAGGACGAACGCUGGCGGCGUGCCUAAUACAUGCAAGUCUAGCGGAAUGAUGAAGAAGCUUGCUUCUUCUGAUUUUAGCGGCGGACGGGUGAGUGACACGUGGGCAACCUACGCUUGUAGAUUGGGAUAACUCCGGGAAACCGGGGCUAAUACCGAAUCAUCCAUUUUGCUUCAUGGCAAGAUGUUGAAAGGCGGCUUCGGCUGUCACUACGAGAUGGGCCCGCGGCGUAUUAGCUAGUUGGUAGGGUAAUGGCCUACCAAGGCGACGAUACGUAGCCGACCUGAGAGGGUGAUCGGCCACACUGGGACUGAGACACGGCCCAGACUCCUACGGGAGGCAGCAGUAGGGAAUCUUCCACAAUGGACGACAAGUCUGAUGGAGCAACGCCGCGUGAGUGAAGAAGGUUUUCGGAUCGUAAAACUCUGUUGUAAGGGAAGAACACGUACGAGAGUAACUGCUCGUACCUUGACGGUACCUUAUUAGAAAGCCA
Molecule: ribosomal RNA, 503 nt
Filed under: Sporosarcina sp. 01WB02.1-69
Lineage: Bacteria; Bacillati; Bacillota; Bacilli; Caryophanales; Caryophanaceae
Description: bacterial SSU rRNA
Rfam family: Bacterial small subunit ribosomal RNA
Source: RNAcentral